AUUGAACGCUGGCGGCAGGCCUAACACAUGCAAGUCGAGCGGAUGAAGGGAGCUUGCUCCUGGAUUCAGCGGCGGACGGGUGAGUAAUGCCUAGGAAUCUGCCUGGUAGUGGGGGAUAACGUCCGGAAACGGGCGCUAAUACCGCAUACGUCCUGAGGGAGAAAGUGGGGGAGCUUCGGACCUCACGCUAUCAGAUGAGCCUAGGUCGGAUUAGCUAGUUGGUGGGGUAAAGGCCUUCCAAGGCGACGAUCCGUAACUGGUCUGAGAGGAUGAUCAGUCACAUUGGAACGGGGACACGGUCCAGACGCCUGAGGGAGGCACCAGUGUGGAAUGUUGGACAGUGGGGGGAAGCCUGAUCCAGCCAGGCCGCGUGUGUGAAGAAGGUCUUCGGAUUGUAAAGCACGUUAAGUGGUGAGGAAGGGCAGUAAGUUAAUACCUUGCUGUUGUGACGUUACCAACAGAAUAAGCACCGGCUAACUUCGUG
Molecule: ribosomal RNA, 484 nt
Filed under: uncultured bacterium
Lineage: Bacteria
Description: partial 16S ribosomal RNA
Rfam family: Bacterial small subunit ribosomal RNA
Source: RNAcentral